UACGGAGGAUCCAAGCGUUAUCCGGAAUCAUUGGGUUUAAAGGGUCCGUAGGCGGUUUUAUAAGUCAGUGGUGAAAUCCGGCAGCUCAACUGUCGAACGGCCAUUGAUACUGUAGAACUUGAAUUAUUGUGAAGUAACUAGAAUAUGUAGUGUAGCGGUGAAAUGCUUAGAUAUUACAUGGAAUACCGAUUGCGAAGGCAGGUUACUAACAAUAUAUUGACGCUGAUGGACGAAAGCGUGGGGAGCGAACAGG
RNAcentral lists this ribosomal RNA (253 nucleotides) under uncultured bacterium. RNAcentral's name for it is "partial 16S ribosomal RNA". It matches the Rfam family "Bacterial small subunit ribosomal RNA", at positions 524 to 776 of the family's 1533-position model. The record is from RNAcentral.